CUCCUACGGAGGCAGCAGUGGGGAAUCUUGCACAAUGGACGAAAGUCUGAUGCAGCAACGCCGCGUGGGGGAUGAAGCUUUUCGGAGUGUAAACCCCUUUCGACCCGGAAGAAUGCCCGCAAGGGUUUGACGGUACGGGUAUAAGAAGCCCCGGCUAACUACGUGCCAGCAGCCGCGGUAAUUC
Molecule: ribosomal RNA, 184 nt
Filed under: uncultured bacterium
Lineage: Bacteria
Description: partial 16S ribosomal RNA
Rfam family: Bacterial small subunit ribosomal RNA
Source: RNAcentral